ACUGUCUCAGAUAAGCCAUGCAUGUCUAAGUAUAAAUGGUUAUACAGUGAAACUGCGAAUGGGCUCAUUAAAACAGUUAUAGUUUAUUUGAUAUUCGAACACUACAUUGGAUAACCGUGGUAAUUCUAGAGCUAAUACAUAGCUUUCAAGCCCGACUCUUAGGAAGGGCUGUAUUUAUUAGAUAACAAACCAAUAUUCCUUGCGUCUAUUGUGAUGACUCAUAAUAACUGAUCGAAUCGCAUGGACCUUGUCCGCGAUACGUCAUUCAAGCUUCUGCCCCAUCAGCUUUCGAUGGUAGUGUAUUGGACUACCAUGGCUUUAACGGGUAACGGAGGAUUAGGGUUCGAUUCCGGAGAGGGGGCCUGAGAAACGGCUACCACAUCUAAGGAAGGCAGCAGGCGCGUAAAUUACCCAAUCCUGACUCAGGGAGGUAGUGACAAGAAAUAACGGACCGAGGCUCUUGCUUCGGGAUUGCAAUGAGUAGAAUUUAAACCCCUUUA
Molecule: ribosomal RNA, 500 nt
Filed under: uncultured eukaryote
Lineage: Eukaryota
Description: SSU rRNA
Rfam family: Eukaryotic small subunit ribosomal RNA
Source: RNAcentral